This 218-nucleotide ribosomal RNA is filed under the name uncultured bacterium. RNAcentral's name for it is "partial 16S ribosomal RNA". It matches the Rfam family "Bacterial small subunit ribosomal RNA", at positions 524 to 742 of the family's 1533-position model. The record is from RNAcentral.
UACAGAGGGUGCAAGCGUUAAUCGGAAUUACUGGGCGUAAAGCGCGCGUAGGUGGUUUGUUAAGUUGGAUGUGAAAUCCCCGGGCUCAACCUGGGAACUGCAUCCAAACUGGCAAGCUAGAGUAUGGUAGAGGGUGGUGGAAUUUCCUGUGUAGCGGUGAAAUGCGUAGAUAUAGGAAGGAACACCAGUGGCGAAGGCGACCACCUGGACUGAUACUG